Molecule: long non-coding RNA, 443 nt
Filed under: Brassica napus (rape)
Lineage: Eukaryota; Viridiplantae; Streptophyta; Magnoliopsida; Brassicales; Brassicaceae
Description: long non-coding RNA (BNAP_LNC015254)
Source: RNAcentral
AAUCAUUGUGAAAUGUGUAGAGAGAUUUAGUGAUUAGAACUGUCUAACUUUCAUUAAUGAGAUUGAGAUACAAUAUAUAGUAAGUAGAAGACACUAGGGUUUCAGUAUACAAGCAUGUGAGGUCAAAGCAUAAGAGGAGCGCACAUUUGAAAGUGUCCAAUGGGAGCAUCCGCGUGUGUGAGGCAUCUUUUGCUUUAUGCCUUAACCUUCCAGUCCAUGACAGUCUGUCACACGCUCCUUCUCCCUUCCUUAUCCACUCUCAACGGUCUGAUCACUUUGCCUAAGUGAUCAAGGCUUCUUCCCAUCAUACAAAGUUACUCGGGUAACUUUGUUUCACCAUGACUGAGUUAACUCCUCCCUUUGUACGGCCAAGUACGGAUUCUGUACGGCCUUGUACGGAUGGCUCGUCCAUGCUAUGCCUUAACUCCCCAAGCUCAACUAGU